This 492-nucleotide ribosomal RNA is filed under the name uncultured bacterium. RNAcentral describes it as "partial 16S ribosomal RNA". It matches the Rfam family "Bacterial small subunit ribosomal RNA", at positions 30 to 507 of the family's 1533-position model. The record is from RNAcentral.
AGUGAACGCUGGCGGUAGGCCUAACACAUGCAAGUCGAACGGCAGCACAGUAAGAGCUUGCUCUUACGGGUGGCGAGUGGCGGACGGGUGAGGAAUACAUCGGAAUCUACUUUUUCGUGGGGGAUAACGUAGGGAAACUUACGCUAAUACCGCAUACGACCUACGGGUGAAAGCAGGGGAUCUUCGGACCUUGCGCGAUUGAAUGAGCCGAUGUCGGAUUAGCUAGUUGGCGGGGUAAAGGCCCACCAAGGCGACGAUCCGUAGCUGGUCUGAGAGGAUGACAGCCCGAAGGGGAGGGGGACCGGGCUCAGGGCUCCGGCGGGAGGCACCAGAGGGAAAUUUGGGACAGGGGGGGCGAGCUUGGCCCACCGGUCCGGGGGGGGAAAAAGAGCCCUCGGGGUUGAAAGCCCGUUUUUUGGGGAAAAAAAAGCAGGAGUUUAUUCCCCCGCUGUUUUGACGGUACCAAAAAAAGAAGCACCGGCUAACUUCGUG